RNAcentral lists this ribosomal RNA (492 nucleotides) under uncultured bacterium. RNAcentral describes it as "partial 16S ribosomal RNA". It matches the Rfam family "Bacterial small subunit ribosomal RNA", at positions 29 to 507 of the family's 1533-position model. The record is from RNAcentral.
AGUGAACGCUGGCGGUAGGCCUAACACAUGCCAGUCGAACGGCAGCACAGUAAGAGCUUGCUCUUACGGGUGGCGAGUGGCGGACGGGUGAGGAAUACAUCGGAAUCUACUUUUUCGUGGGGGAUAACGUAGGGAAACUUACGCUAAUACCGCAUACGACCUACGGGUGAAAGCAGGGGAUCUUCGGACCUUGCGCGAUUGAAUGAGCCGAUGUCGGAUUAGCUAGUUGGCGGGGUAAAGGCCCACCAAGGCGACGAUCCGUAGCUGGUCUGAGAGGAUGAUCAGCCACACUGGAACUGAGACACGGUCCAGACUCCUACGGGUGGCAGCAGUGGGGAAUAUUGGACAAUGGGCGCAAGCCUGAUCCAGCCAUACCGCGUGGGUGAAGAAGGCCUUCGGGUUGUAAAGCCCUUUUGUUGGGAAAGAAAAGCAGCAGGUUAAUACCCCGCUGUUCUGACGGUACCCAAAGAAUAAGCACCGGCUAACUUCGUG